CCUACGGGAGGCAGCAGUGGGGGAUAUUGCACAAUGGGGGGAACCCUGAUGCAGCGACGCCGCGUGGGUGAAGGAGUGCUUCGGUAUGUAAAGCCCUAUCGGCAGGGAAGAAGCAAGACGGUACCUGACUAAGAAGCCCCGGCUAACUACGUGCCAGCAGCCGCGGUAAUACGUAGGGGGCGAGCGUUAUCCGGAUUCACUGGGUGUAAAGGGAGCGUAGACGGCCAAGCAAGCCAGGGGUGAAAGCCCGGGGCCCAACCCCGGGACUGCCCUUGGAACUGCAUGGCUGGAGUGCGGGAGGGGCAGGCGGAAUUCCUGGUGUAGCGGUGAAAUGCGUAGAUAUCAGGAGGAACACCGGCGGCGAAGGCGGCCUGCUGGACCGCGACUGACGUUGAGGCUCGAAAGCGUGGGGAGCGAACAGGAUUAGAUACCCCUGUAGUC
Molecule: ribosomal RNA, 441 nt
Filed under: uncultured bacterium
Lineage: Bacteria
Description: partial 16S ribosomal RNA
Rfam family: Bacterial small subunit ribosomal RNA
Source: RNAcentral